RNAcentral lists this ribosomal RNA (568 nucleotides) under uncultured bacterium. RNAcentral describes it as "bacterial SSU rRNA". It matches the Rfam family "Bacterial small subunit ribosomal RNA", at positions 338 to 916 of the family's 1533-position model. The record is from RNAcentral.
CCUACGGGAGGCAGCAGUGGGGAAUAUUGCACAAUGGGCGAAAGCCUGAUGCAGCGACGCCGCGUGAGGGAUGACGGCCUUCGGGUUGUAAACCUCUUUCAGCAGGGAAGAAGCGAGAGUGAUGGUACCUGCAGAAGAAGCGCCGGCUAACUACGUGCCAGCAGCCGCGGUAAUACGUAGGGCGCAAGCGUUGUCCGGAAUUAUUGGGCGUAAAGAGCUCGUAGGCGGCUUGUUGCGUCGGUUGUGAAAGCCCGGGGCUUAACCCCGGGUCUGCAGUCGAUACGGGCAGGCUAGAGUGUGGUAGGGGAGAUCGGAAUUCCUGGUGUAGCGGUGAAAUGCGCAGAUAUCAGGAGGAACACCGGUGGCGAAGGCGGAUCUCUGGGCCAUUACUGACGCUGAGGAGCGAAAGCGUGGGGAGCGAACAGGAUUAGAUACCCUGGUAGUCCACGCCGUAAACGUUGGGAACUAGGUGUUGGCGACAUUCCACGUCGUCGGUGCCGCAGCUAACGCAUUAAGUUCCCCGCCUGGGGAGUACGGCCGCAAGGCUAAAACUUAAAUGAAUUGACGG